UACGAAGGGUGCAAGCGUUACUCGGAAUUACUGGGCGUAAAGCGUGCGUAGGUGGUUCGUUAAGUCUGCUGUGAAAGCCCCGGGCUCAACCUGGGAAUGCCAUUCGAGACUGCAUAGCUAGGGUGCGGAAGAGGGAAGCGGAAUUUCCGGUGUAGCGGUGAAAUGCGUAGAUAUCGGAAGGAACACCAGUGGCGAAAGCGGCUUCCUGGUCCAGCACCGACGUUCAGGCACGAAAGCGUGGGGAGCAAACAGG
This 253-nucleotide ribosomal RNA is filed under the name uncultured bacterium. RNAcentral's name for it is "partial 16S ribosomal RNA". It matches the Rfam family "Bacterial small subunit ribosomal RNA", at positions 524 to 776 of the family's 1533-position model. The record is from RNAcentral.